UGAAGAUCAUUGUUGCUAUUAUUAUUUUUAGAAUUCCCUUUGAUAUAUGUUUCAUCAUCUGAUGAUGUUAUGAUUAGCCUUCGCUCAGCACUAAGUUGUUGUUGUUGUUGUUCCUCUUCUUCUUAUUCUUCUUGGUGAUCUUCUUUAUUUUAAAUCAUUGUGGUGAUAUGGACUCCUAUAUGUGAUAAGUAUAUUGUUUGUAUUCAUAAAAUUAGUAGUAUAUUU
This 225-nucleotide long non-coding RNA is filed under the name Lathyrus oleraceus (garden pea). Its description in RNAcentral is "Pisum sativum (pea) long non-coding RNA (PSAT_LNC024833)". The record is from RNAcentral. Lineage: Eukaryota; Viridiplantae; Streptophyta; Magnoliopsida; Fabales; Fabaceae.